AGUGAACGCUGGCGGUAGGCCUAACACAUGCAAGUCGAACGGCAGCACAGUAAGAGCUUGCUCUUACGGGUGGCGAGUGGCGGACGGGUGAGGAAUACAUCGGAAUCUACUUUUUCGUGGGGGAUAACGUAGGGAAACUUACGCUAAUACCGCAUACGACCUACGGGUGAAAGCAGGGGAUCUUCGGACCUUGCGCGAUUGAAUGAGCCGAUGUCGGAUUAGCUAGUUGGCGGGGUAAAGGCCCACCAAGGCGACGAUCCGUAGCUGGUCUGAGAGGAUGAUCAGCCACACUGGAACUGAGACACGGUCCAGACUCCUACGGGAGGCAGCAGUGGGGAAUAUUGGACAAUGGGCGCAGGCCUGAUCCAGCCAUACCGCGUGGGUGAGGAAGGCCUUCGGGUUGUAAAGCCCUUUUGUUGGGAAAGAAAAGCAGCAGGUUAAUACCCCGCUGUUCUGACGGUACCCAAAGAAUAAGCACCGGCUAACUUCGUG
This 492-nucleotide ribosomal RNA is filed under the name uncultured bacterium. Its description in RNAcentral is "partial 16S ribosomal RNA". It matches the Rfam family "Bacterial small subunit ribosomal RNA", at positions 29 to 507 of the family's 1533-position model. The record is from RNAcentral.